GCCUUUGUAGUUCAACGGAUAGAACGACGGUUUCCUAAACCGUAAAUUCGGGUUCGAUUCCCGACGAGGGUAC
RNAcentral lists this transfer RNA (73 nucleotides) under Alistipes sp. Its description in RNAcentral is "tRNA-Arg". It matches the Rfam family "tRNA". From Rfam's summary of the family: Transfer RNA (tRNA) molecules are approximately 80 nucleotides in length. The record is from RNAcentral. Lineage: Bacteria; Pseudomonadati; Bacteroidota; Bacteroidia; Bacteroidales; Rikenellaceae.